RNAcentral lists this ribosomal RNA (432 nucleotides) under uncultured bacterium. RNAcentral's name for it is "partial 16S ribosomal RNA". It matches the Rfam family "Bacterial small subunit ribosomal RNA", at positions 29 to 506 of the family's 1533-position model. The record is from RNAcentral.
AACGAACGCUGGCGGCAUGCCUAACACAUGCAAGUCGAACGAGACCUUCGGGUCUAGUGGCGCACGGGUGCGUAACGCGUGGGAACCUGCCCUUAGGUUCGGAAUAACUCCCCGAAAGGGGUGCUAAUACCGGAUAAUGUCUUCGGACCAAAGAUUUAUCGCCUUUGGAUGGGCCCGCGUUGGAUUAGCUAGUUGGUAGGGUAAAAGCCUACCAAGGCGACGAUCCAUAGCUGGUCUGAGAGGAUGAUCAGCCACACUGGGACUGAGACACGGCCCAGACUCCUACGGGAGGCAGCAGUGGGGAAUAUUGGACAAUGGGCGAAAGCCUGAUCCAGCAAUGCCGCGUGAGUGAUGAAGGCCUUAGGGUUGUAAAGCUCUUUUACCCGGGAUGAUAAUGACAGUACCGGGAGAAUAAGCUCCGGCUAACUCGGU